GGCUGCUUUAACAUGCAAGUCGAACGGCAGCACGGGCUUCGGCCUGGUGGCGAGUGGCGAACGGGUGAGUAAUGCAUCGGAACGUGCCCAUGUCGGGGGGAAUAACGUACCGAAAGCUACGCUAAUACCGCAUACGCCCUGAGGGGGAAAGCGGGGGAUUCUUCGGAACCUCGCGCGAUUGGAGCGGCCGAUGUCGGAUUAGCUAGUAGGUGAGGUAAAGGCUCACCUAGGCGACGAUCCGUAGCGGGUCUGAGAGGAUGAUCCGCCACACUGGGACUGAGACACCGCCCAGACUCCUACRCGAGGCAGCAGUGGGGAAUUUUGGACAAUGGGGGCACCCUGAUCCAGCCAUGCCGCGUGAGUGAAGAAGGCCUUCGGGUUGUAAAGCUCUUUCGGCCGGGAAGAAAUCGGCGACUCUAACAUAGUCGCUGGAUGACGGUACCGGACUAAGAAGCACCGGCUAACUACGUGCCAGCAGCCGCGGUAAUACGUAGGGUGCGAGCGUUAAUCGGAAUUACUGGGCGUAAAGCGUGCGCAGGCGGUUUUGUAAGACAGAUGUGAAAUCCCCGGGCUUAACCUGGGAACUGCGUUUGUGACUGCAAGGCUAGAGUACGGCAGAGGGGGGUGGAAUUCCACGUGUAGCAGUGAAAUGCGUAGAGAUGUGGAGGAACACCGAUGGCGAAGGCAGCCCCCUGGGCCUGUACUGACGCUCAUGCACGAAAGCGUGGGGAGCAAACAGGAUUAGAUACCCUGGUAGUCCACGCCCUAAACGAUGUCGACUAGUUCGUUCGGAGCAGCAAUGCACUGAGUGACGCAGCUAACGCGUGAAGUCGACCGCCUGGGGAGUACGGCCGCAAGGUUAAAACUCAAAGGAAUUGACGGGGACCCGCACAAGCGGUGGAUGAUGUGGAUUAAUUCGAUGCAACGCGAAAAACCUUACCGACCCUUGACAUGUCCGGAAUCCUGGUGAGAGCCGAGGGUGCCUUCGGGAGCCAGAACACAGGUGCUGCAUGGCUGUCGUCAGCUCGUGUCGUGUGAUGUUGGGUUAAGUCCCGCAACGAGCGCAACCCUUGUCACUAAUUGCCAUCAUUUGGUUGGGCACUUUAGUGAGACUGCCGGUGACAAACCGGAGGAAGGUGGGGAUGACGUCAAGUCCUCAUGGCCCUUAUGGGUAGGGCUUCACACGUCAUACAAUGGUCGGUACAGAGGGCUGCCAAGCCGCGAGGGGGAGCCAAUCCCUUAAAGCCGAUCGUAGUCCGGAUUGUAGUUUGCAACUUGACUACGGAAGUCGGAAUCGCUAGUAAUCGCAGAUCAGCAUG
Molecule: ribosomal RNA, 1319 nt
Filed under: uncultured bacterium
Lineage: Bacteria
Description: bacterial SSU rRNA
Rfam family: Bacterial small subunit ribosomal RNA
Source: RNAcentral